GAUGAACGCUGGCGGCGUGCUUAACACAUGCCAGUCGAACGGGAAUUCCUUUAUUGAAACUUCGGUCGAUUUAAUUUACUUCUAGUGGCGGACGGGUGAGUAACGCGUGGGUAACCUGCCUUAUACAGGGGGAUAACAGUCAGAAAUGGCUGCUAAUACCGCAUAAGCGCACAGAGCUGCAUGGCUCGGUGUGAAAAACUCCGGUGGUAUAAGAUGGACCCGCGUUGGAUUAGCUUGUUGGUGGGGUAACGGCCCACCAAGGCGACGAUCCAUAGCCGGCCUGAGAGGGUGAACGGCCACAUUGGGACUGAGACACGGCCCAGACUCCUACGGGAGGCAGCAGUGGGGAAUAUUGCACAAUGGGGGAAACCCUGAUGCAGCGACGCCGCGUGAAGGAAGAAGUAUCUCGGUAUGUAAACUUCUAUCAGCAGGGAAGAUAGUGACGGUACCUGACUAAGAAGCCCCGGCUAACUACGUG
Molecule: ribosomal RNA, 478 nt
Filed under: uncultured bacterium
Lineage: Bacteria
Description: partial 16S ribosomal RNA
Rfam family: Bacterial small subunit ribosomal RNA
Source: RNAcentral